This is a long non-coding RNA of Solanum pennellii, 664 nucleotides long. RefSeq lists it as uncharacterized. The transcript is spliced from 2 exons. Lineage: Eukaryota; Viridiplantae; Streptophyta; Magnoliopsida; Solanales; Solanaceae. The record is from RefSeq and is a predicted model, not a curated record.
UCUCUCACUCUCUCUCAAGCCGCCCCCUCUCUCUCCAUUCAUUUCAGCGAAAAUCGCCAGCGGCGAGCCCUUUUCUCUCUCCCUUUUCCGGAGGCCCACCUCUCUCCUCGCCAUUCUCCAACGAAGCAGCAGCCCGGUGACACCCCUCUCUUCAUCACUCCCUCCAUCCUCUCUCUCUAUCUCCUAUCUAUUUCCCCCUCUUCUCCUCUCCUCCCUUCUGUCUCUCCGCCCCUCCUCUCGCCUUGCUCCGGAAAAGCGCCUCCUCCCUACGUACCUAUCUUCUCUUUUCCAGCGACAGCAAGAGCAGCAACGCUUCAACAACCAGCAGCUCCGGCCGGCUAGAAACAACAACAAAGCAGCAAGCUCUGGCGAGGCCUUUUGGAAAAUUUGAGUUUUUCAAAAGAUGGUUCCCGUUCGGUGUAUUGCUUUCUUCAACAGGACCUGAACUUGAAGUCCAAGUUGAAGAGUCGCCUCGAGAUAAUUUUAUUUAUGUAUUUUUAACUAUUAUUUGUUAUGUAUUUUGAUUUGUAAUGUUGUAUAAAAGAUCUAAUUCUAGUAUAUACAUGAAAAUAUUUGGGGGAUUGUCUAAGGGGGGAGGGAACUACGUGCUAAAUAUCUCUUUUACUUUUCUUUUUGUGCUAAUACGCGUGGGUUGGAUUUUAAA